This is a long non-coding RNA of Cloeon dipterum, 326 nucleotides long. RefSeq lists it as uncharacterized. The transcript has 3 exons. The record is from RefSeq and is a predicted model, not a curated record. NCBI's taxonomy places the organism in Eukaryota, Metazoa, Arthropoda, Insecta, Ephemeroptera, Baetidae.
GCUGACGUUGUUUUCGUUGUUGAAGGAAAGAAAAUCCACACGCACAAAGCGAUUCUGCUAAUGCGAUGCCCCACCUUCAGGACUUUGUUUCAGGGUGGUUUGAAAGUGAGCAGGAAAAGCAGCGAAGGUGAGCACAUCAUCGAGCAUCACAGCUACGUCGCUUUUUACACCUUCUUGAAAUACUUCUACACAGACGAAAUCGACUUUCCGCCACACUCCGCAAUCGAGCUUCUUGGGUUGGCGCAUUUAUUCCACCUUCCCGCGCUGCAAGAGAUAUGCGGACAAUAUGUUAAAAAAGACGUGACGGUGGAAAACGCAGCCGUGAU